AAUUCACAGCUCCAUGGAAACAGCUGCCUGUCAGUCCAAGCCUUGGUGCACCGAUACUGGCGACAGCUCGAGGAUUAUUUCCACGUGGGACUCCAGGGGUUUCUACAAGGCAGAAGAGCUGAGCACCCAGCCCGGCACGCAUCGUGCUUCUCCCAGCACUGCUACCCCAGCUGUAGCCGCAGAAUCUGGCUUCUCUGGAAGAGCAGCUAGAAGAAGGCGUAUGAACAGCAAUGCUGAACACAAGCGGCCCAAAGAUUGAUUUCCGCUUGGUUAUUUGUCCCUUGUGAAGCUCACACUGAAGUUUGGUCUCUGCCAUAACAAUGUUGAGAGGAGGAAGGCCAGCAGUACAGACCUGAGGGCAGAAUAUCUACAUAAAUGAUUUGGAAUUCUUCUGCAUGACAGAUUCGUCUCUUCUCUGCCAUUUCUUUAUUCAUUUAUUAAUGUCUGUGUGGAUUCAUGGGUACUUAUACUUGGGUUAUGAUCCAAUACUGCAUCAUUUAUUUGGCCACUCACAUCACUCUAGCUUUGGGCACUGCAUUUGGCUCCUGCAACAUUUUGCCAGGCUGUGACGGACCGAACCUUUAUUUCUCCCACCAAACACACGGUGAAGCCCUACCCUGCAAUGUAAGGUACUUGGAAACAGGGUUUGUGGGAGGUAACUAGGGUUGGAUGAGGUCAUGAAGGCAGGGCUUUGGUGACAGGUUCACGUCCUUAGAAAGAAGAGACACCAGACAGCUUGCCCUCUGCUAUCUUGUUGCCAUUCCACAAGUGUAAUGAGAGGUCAUGUGGCACCCAGAGAGACUGCAGCCACCUGCACACCAAGAGGAAAGAUCUUCAAAUGAAACCCACCUCGUCAGCACCUCCAUCAUAGACUUCUCAGUCCUCCAGGCAAUGAGAAAUAAAUUUCUGUUGUUUAAA
Chinchilla lanigera (long-tailed chinchilla) is the source of this 918-nucleotide long non-coding RNA. RefSeq lists it as uncharacterized. The transcript is spliced from 2 exons. Lineage: Eukaryota; Metazoa; Chordata; Mammalia; Rodentia; Chinchillidae. The record is from RefSeq and is a predicted model, not a curated record.